This 450-nucleotide ribosomal RNA is filed under the name uncultured bacterium. RNAcentral describes it as "partial 16S ribosomal RNA". It matches the Rfam family "Bacterial small subunit ribosomal RNA", at positions 338 to 795 of the family's 1533-position model. The record is from RNAcentral.
CCUACGGGUGGCUGCAGUGAGGAAUAUUGGUCAAUGGACGCAAGUCUGAACCAGCCAUGCCGCGUGAAGGAUGAAGGCCUUCUGGGUUGUAAACUUCUUUUAUUGGGGAAGAAAAUUACGGUUUCUACUGUAACCGACGGUACCCAAUGAAUAAGCACCGGCUAACUCCGUGCCAGCAGCCGCGGUAAUACGGAGGGUGCAAGCGUUAUCCGGAUUCACUGGGUUUAAGGGGUGUGUAGGCGGGCUAGGAGAAAUCUCCGGGCUCAACCCGGAAACUGCCAUUGAUACUAUUAGUCUUGAAUAUCGUUGAGGUAGGCGGAAUAUAUCAUGUAGCGGUGAAAUGCAUAGAUAUGAUAUAGAACACCGAUUGCGAAGGCAGCUUGCUAAACGAUGAUUGACGCUGAGGCACGAAAGCGUGGGGAUCAAACAGGAUUAGAUACCCUGGUAGUC